Ctenopharyngodon idella (grass carp) is the source of this 5589-nucleotide long non-coding RNA. RefSeq lists it as uncharacterized. The transcript has 5 exons. Lineage: Eukaryota; Metazoa; Chordata; Actinopteri; Cypriniformes; Xenocyprididae. The record is from RefSeq and is a predicted model, not a curated record.
AAUAGGGCACUUUAAGAGGAAUGAUUGGCAGUGUAUUAUUCUGUAAGAGGCAAGCAAGCAUUUAUGGGUCAUUUAAACAUUCAAAUAAUCCUUAGCUCCUCGAGGCUCUCAAUAGUUCACCAGCGGUGUGACCUGCCUAAACUAGUGUGCAUGACUGUGUAAAGCUGCCAAAGAGAAAAGAAGCUUACAACAAAACGACCUGUAGUGUAAUGGACUCUGAUAGAUCUGUAUUGGAAUAUAGUCAAGCCAGCCAUCUGGCAGCUUGUCUAUCUGACAGCUUAUUUUAUCAAGCCCUGCUUUCAACACGUGUGACAGCACUGUGGUGGGGUUACGCGAUGGGAAGGAAUCGAUACGACGGAGCCCAGCCCAACACACACAGAAUGAGAGAGAGGAGAGAAGAACAUGUCAACAGCAAAUAUACAGGUUGUCUGAGAGUGUCUUGUUCGGCUGGUGUCUGGCUCUCACUGUGAGGAUGAGGAUGAUGGUGGUGAUGAAGGUGAGAGGUGGGCACACGCUUCGGCGGCGCGGAUUGGCUGUAUCGGGUGUAGCGGGUACCGAGCCGUGUAAUACAGCAUCACAAGCGGAGAUCAAGAGUGCAAGUGAGACUUCCUUUACCCAGGGCGGUAAAGGGAAAUAGCCUACAAAAGAUGUUUACUUAUUCAAAUCAUUAGCUUUGACCCAAAAAAAAAAAAAAAUGUGUUAACUCUUACUCGACUUAAAACUUAUUUUUCGCAUUUCUCCAGACCUUUUCGUUACUUUUGCAACAGAAUAACAGUUGCAAAUAUAAGCUGCUCGUUGAUGUUUGAUUCGCAAAAGAAUUGUUUGAACGAAUCAUUUGAGUCGAUUCUUUUCCAUGUAGGCUAGGCUACCUUUCAAACGGGUUCGCAAAGCGGUCUGAACUAUUCGAAUGUGAAUCGCGAAUCUGAAUCAAAUCACAAGAGAAGCACCCUGGAACACGUAAUUCGAAGAAGAGACUGUUCGUGUAAGCUUUAAUCUUUGAUUUUUUUUAAAUAUAUAAAUUAAUUUGAUACAUGUAAGGAUUUUUAUUAGGAGCGGUGUGAAAAGCUGAUAUAUUUGUAGGCCUAGUUUCCGUGGGAAAUACGAACAUGCCGCCGUUAUCUUGUGCCAUAUCUUUAUGUGCCAUAUCUUUAAUAGAUCUAUAAGAAUCUUAUGAGUUUAAAUGGGGCCUACCGCCUACAAAACUCGUUUAACCUGAAACUGAACACUCAUUUGUCUGAAUUGUUAUAGUCAGGCAUACAAAGGAGAAAACACCAUAUAAUAAAAAAUGGGUACAAAGUUAAACAGAAAUUAUUAUUCUAUAUUUUAAAUAGUAUCACAAUGAAACAAUAUUUUGUCUGUGCUUGCCCAAACAAAAAUGUAGAGAUGCUAGAGUGUUAUUGGAGUGUUGCUAUGCAGUUGCUGGGGUUUUCUACAUUGUUAUUUAACUCAUUUAUGUUGUUUUUAGGGUGUUCUCAUGCUGCAGGGGUGAGCAAUAGUUACCUUAGCGAUCACCACUAAUUAUAAAACCAGCACCUCCAACGCAUACUGGGAAAACAUGUGUCAUCCUGUGUAUCUCUUAGUGUAUAUUGCGAGGUAUUAUUAUAUUAUUAACUAGGCAUAGAUUCUCAAAAUUUCUGUUAAUUCCUACUAUUUCAGGUACAUUGCAGCUUAAUUGUUUUGCUUGCUCUAUAAUUUUGUUUUGUUGUGCAUCAGUUGAUCUCCGUACAACACUCACAACACUAAACUCUUGAUUAAUCAAGCCAGUGGCAGCUCCAGUCUCUAAAGGGAAUGAUGCAUAAGCACUUUUCUUCUCACACCCGUGUAUCUCGUCAAACAUUUAAAUGAAAUGCUGCGCAUGAGUUUGUGUUUCUCUGUUUCAUUUCACGAGCAUGCACUGAGUGAGGUGGUGUGUCACUCAUAAUUAUCUGUCUCAGCUUCAGAACAGAAUAAGCAAAGCACACACUGUUCACAACUCUCCUCUCCUGUCACACCCAGUUGGUGCUUGUUCUCAGGAUAAGGACGCAUGACUCUGUCAAACAUUUAAGUUUGCUUGCCACUUCAACAAUACCUAAAACCCUGAAUCUGGGCAAACCACCAACUAACUGAAACCUACAACCUUUCGACAGGCUCACAGCUCAGACCGGCAAUUGUACAUCCUGUUACAGCACUCGGUGUGCCCUGCUCCCAGUCCAGCUGUGCUGUAAUGCACUUCUGAGCUGGUGGGAUCGAACCGAAGCUCUGCUCAAUAGCAGCAGGACUUUUGGGAUUUUACGAGGAUCUCGAUGAGGAGUGGAUUCUGCUGUUCCUUGAGACAGCUCAGAGGAGCUUGCGCAUACCGGCAAGGAAAUGUAAGCCUGCAAGGAUGUGUGCUGUGAGAGAGAAGUUGUUUUUCCUUUUCUUUUGUUGUGUAAUCUGCAAUGUCAACUCAUAUGUCUGUUACUGUCUAACACCACCAGCCGCCUAUUUCAGGACCGCUUCAGCACAACAAUUCCCACACAAUUCAAUUAACGGACUGAAAAUAGGGCUCCCAAGACUGUCUUUGUUACAGCACUAAUAUGACUGCCAACGGGAGAAUGUAGUCCGUUAAAAGAUUCUCCUCCACUAAUUCUCCAAGAAGGCCAUAUUCUAAGCUAAAGAGGCCUUUGUCUUACACUUCCUUUUUGCACGCAGAGCUCCGGCGUCCUCAUCUCACACUGACGGCACUCCUAUUGUGCUCUUCAGAUGAGCUGCUUUAAUUGAGCUUUGCUCUAGAUCUGUUUAAUUUAACUGGAAAGAUAUUUGCUUUCAUUAGUGGAAUGUGUUGGGUUGACCUUUGAAGUACUUAUUUAGAGCCAUGUGGUUAAUUGAAAACUUUUGUAAUGCUGCUAUUAAAGUACCGGCAACAUGCAUAAAGAUUUUCUGGGAAACAUACUCGUAUUCGGUACUGAACAGAAAGAUUAGCGUUAUCUGGUGAAAUUAAAUUGAAUAUUUACAGGGUCGCUUCUGUUAUGCAGUACCUUUGAACUGUAACUUUUACAAAAUGAACAUGCUCGGCUGCGUUCACAGUCACACAAUGAUUAGGAUUGACUGUAUUUACUAACUGUACUUGUUCACUUUGAGGCUGUUUUUAAUGUUUCUCCUCCAUUUAGUACUUAAAGCUGCAAUCUCUAAAUUUUGCCUCUUUGUCGCCAUCUCUGUUUGAAACCUGCAAUUGCAGUUAUUUGCGGAAUUAUCAUCUUUACGUGGGUUGCGCAUCGGCAUGGCUCCUCAGCGCGGAUGAAUCUAAUGUUUCGAGGAGAAUGUGUGGUUGUUCACCGCACCAGUGGAUACUGUACCUCGCAAUCACAGAUGGAAGUAUGACCAAAAUAAGAAUUUUCACCGGAAAAUGUCUGAACAAGUAAGGAUAAAUCUGCCACUUUUGUUCUGACCAACUGAGAAAAAAAAGUAUUACAAUAAAUCGCGCUCGGAUCACGUCAAAGCAUGCAAAUUAUUAUUACUGUUAUACUUUGUUCUCAAAUUGUUAAUGUUAACAAAAUCAGCAUUGCGUGACUAUGUGUAUUUAGUGUGUAUUACCUGUAGAUAUCAAUUUCUGUACAGUCUAAUCUCUAACGUUAAUUUGUCAUACCAUACAAUCCGCCAUCAAAAUGAUAAGUUUAAUUAUUGCAGCUGCUGUGAGAAAAGGCUAUAAAUGAUCCACCACACACUGGUUAUGUACUAAAUUGAUUUUGGAUAUUUUUUAACCAAUUUAAACCGAUUUCAAACCAGUUUUAAAUCACAUCAUUACAUAUAUAUAGUUUUUAGUCACAUGACUGCCACAGAGGCCUGGAGGGCAAAACAUGCACAAAACUGCAUUACAGACCUGUCAAUUUUCUCAAAAGAAGAAAAUCAAAAACAUGUGAACAAAAUGCAAGUUUUGUGACCCAUAUACAGCACCUGCUGCGGUAUUUCAAUCAUAAUAACAGCGGGACGUUCUAAAACGCUUAAUGUGAAAAACAUUUAAAGUGCCUUAAUGUACUAAAACAGUGAUAUUAAAACAUCAAAUUCAGCAUAAACCUUAUUGAAGAUGCAAACUAUAUUCAGGCAAGCCCAGAAUUUGAGCGCAACAAAAUUUGGUUAAGCUUUAUAUAUAUAUAUAUAUAUAUAUAUGGUUUUCUUUGGAAAAACGUUUAACAAGAAACUGCUCAUUGUGUUUAUAUUCUGGGUUCAUCUGCUUGCCUGUACAUAGUAUGCAUCAUCAAUAAGGUUUAUAUUGAAUUUGGUCUUUUAAUAUCACUGUCUUACUAAAUUAGUACUUAGCACAAACCUGGUAAACAUGACUGGUGUGCAGUGGAGGAAAGUCUUGUUUUGCCCUCCAGGUGGUGCGUUCCUAUAAGUGUGUGACACCGUGGGAAAACUAUGAAUUAGUAUAUAUAAAUUAGAUUUCAAAUGUUGUUUGGGACUGUGGCUGAAAUAACAAAUAUCAACUUAAUACACAUUUGUUGACAUAUACUUACUGGCCAUUUGGAAAUAAAGUUUGUUUGUAAUACACUACCGUUAAAAAUUUUGGAGUCAGUAUCAUGAUUUCCACUAAAAUGUUAAGCAGCACAACUGUUUUCAACAUUCAUAAUAAAAGAAAAUGUUUCUACCAAAUCAGCAUAUUAGAAUGAUUUCUGAAGAUUCAUCUGACACUGAAGACUGGAGUAAUGAUGCUGAAAACAGGAAUAAAUUACAUUUUUAUAUAUAAAUUACAUUAAAAUAUAUUACAAUACAAAAUUAAUAUGAUUACCAUCUUUAAAAGUGUGAGUUUAAUAUUUUGUCCAAUAUAAUGGGGACAUGAAAAUGUACUGCACAUAGUAUAAAUGACAUCAGCUGACAUGUCCACUCUCCAUUUCUAAAAGAAAACGUGAUAAAUACAAUUUAAAAGCAUCAUAAAUCACAGUCAGCUUUCCCAAGACAGCUUUAUAUGAAUAUGUUCAUAUUCAUUCACCCUUGCGGUAAAAAUUCGGAAUGCGCUUUACCCUUGUGACAGUGUUUUAGAUUGUAUUGCAGUUGUACAGACGGGCCAUGCACCUCCAAACCACAAGAGUGCAUCUGUGGUUUGUCCCAGCUCUGUCUGCAUUCAGGGCAGCAAUAAAAGACAAACCGAUCCGAUGACUCCCUCAAGGUAUAUCUAACCUGAUUCUGCGUGUCUGUGUUCUCAUCUGUCAACUUGACCCAACUGUGACUAUUGAGUUUUAUAUAGCUCUUGUUUAACUAUAAAUCUUGACUUCAUUAUGCCUGUAGACCUCAGGGUUUGUCUUUACCUUCCUCUCUUCAGGACAAAAUAUGAAUGAUUUAAGGGAGGAACAGAUCCAGGCAAGGGCAAAUCAGACACCAGAGUGAGUCUUCAACUCUGCACGUUUACCUGCUAACCAGCAUGUACAACGCUCCACAAGGACAGCCGGAUUAGAAGAUGCAUUGCAGUCUACAACUUACUCUACAAGAAUUACUCUACCAGAUGAAAUGCACGCAUUAGAUCUUUUAAUUCUGUAUUAUUUAAAUAAAUAUUGUGUUUGUGGUAUGUUGAUGAUCCAGUGAUAGGGGAACAGUCUGUAAUCCCACGAGUGAAAUCAGUAAACUGGAAGAAAAGCC